AGUUUGAUCAUGGCUCAGAUUGAACGCUGGCGGCAGGCUUAACACAUGCAAGUCGAGCGGGGAAAGGUAGCUUGCUACCUUACCUAGCGGCGGACGGGUGAGUAAUGCUUAGGAAUCUGCCUAUUAGUGGGGGACAACAUUCCGAAAGGAAUGCUAAUACCGCAUACGCCCUACGGGGGAAAGCAGGGGAUCUUCGGACCUUGCGCUAAUAGAUGAGCCUAAGUCAGAUUAGCUAGUUGGUGGGGUAAAGGCCUACCAAGGCGACGAUCUGUAGCGGGUCUGAGAGGAUGAUCCGCCACACUGGGACUGAGACACGGCCCAGACUCCUACGGGAGGCAGCAGUGGGGAAUAUUGGACAAUGGGCGCAAGCCUGAUCCAGCCAUGCCGCGUGUGUGAAGAAGGCCUUUUGGUUGUAAAGCACUUUAAGCGAGGAGGAGGCUACUUGGAUUAAUACUCUAGGAUAGUGGACGUUACUCGCAGAAUAAGCACCGGCUAACUCUGUGCCAGCAGCCGCGGUAAUACAGAGGGUGCGAGCGUUAAUCGGAUUUACUGGGCGUAAAGCGUGCGUAGGCGGCUUUUUAAGUCGGUUGUGAAAUCCCUGAGCUUAACUUAGGAAUUGCAUUCGAUACUGGGAAGCUAGAGUAUGGGAGAGGAUGGUAGAAUUCCAGGUGUAGCGGUGAAAUGCGUAGAGAUCUGGAGGAAUACCGAUGGCGAAAGCAGCCAUCUGGCCUAAUACUGACGCUGAGGUACGAAAGCAUGGGGAGCAAACAGGAUUAGAUACCCUGGUAGUCCAUGCCGUAAACGAUGUCUACUAGCCGUUGGGGCCUUUGAGGCUUUAGUGGCGCAGCUACGCGAU
Molecule: ribosomal RNA, 856 nt
Filed under: uncultured bacterium
Lineage: Bacteria
Description: bacterial SSU rRNA
Rfam family: Bacterial small subunit ribosomal RNA
Source: RNAcentral